AAUCAACGCUGGCGGCGUGCCUCAGACAUGCAAGUCGAACGAUUAAAGCUCUCUUCGGAGAGUGUAUAGAGUGGCGCACGGGUGAGUAACACGUAAGUAAUCUACCUUUGAGUGGGGAAUAACCCGGGGAAACCCGAGCUAAUACCGCAUAAUGCAGCGGCACCGCAAGGUGACAGUUGUUAAAGGAGCAAUCCGCUUAAAGAGGAGCUUGCGGCAGAUUAGCUAGUGGUAAGGUAAUGGCUUACCAAGGCUUCGAUCUGUAUCCGGCCUGAGAGGGGCGGUCGGACACACUGACACUGAAUAACGGGUCAGACUCCUACGGGAGGCAGCAGUCGGGAAUUUGGGCAAUGGGCGAAAGCCUGACCCAGCAACGCCGCGUGAAGGAU
RNAcentral lists this ribosomal RNA (386 nucleotides) under uncultured bacterium. RNAcentral's name for it is "bacterial SSU rRNA". It matches the Rfam family "Bacterial small subunit ribosomal RNA", at positions 32 to 409 of the family's 1533-position model. The record is from RNAcentral.